Small nucleolar RNA from Cavia aperea (Brazilian guinea pig), 137 nucleotides. Its record names the gene SNORA75. It matches the Rfam family "Small nucleolar RNA SNORA75". Rfam says of the family: U23 belongs to the H/ACA class of snoRNAs. snoRNAs bind a number of proteins (including dyskerin, Gar1p and Nop10p in the case of the H/ACA class) to form snoRNP complexes. This class are thought to guide the sites of modification of uridines to pseudouridines by forming direct base pairing interactions with substrate RNAs. The record is from Ensembl. Lineage: Eukaryota; Metazoa; Chordata; Mammalia; Rodentia; Caviidae.
ACCUUCUCACUGAGCUCCUGUCUGUCACUGAUGGCAGUCUUGGAUUCGCACGAGAAGAACAGCACUGCACGGAGCCGGUGCUGCUGUAGCCUCUGUUUCAUUGGAGGUGUGCAUACCUGGCUGCUCUGUGGACAAAU